RNAcentral lists this ribosomal RNA (110 nucleotides) under Frankia sp. FrCpum. RNAcentral describes it as "partial 23S ribosomal RNA". It matches the Rfam family "Bacterial large subunit ribosomal RNA", at positions 1 to 109 of the family's 2925-position model. The record is from RNAcentral. Lineage: Bacteria; Bacillati; Actinomycetota; Actinomycetes; Frankiales; Frankiaceae.
GGCCAAGUUAUUAAGGGCACACGGUGGAUGCCUUGGCACCAGGAACCGAUGAAAGACGUGGGAAGCUGCNAUAUGCCUCCGGGAACUGUCAACCGAGCUGUGAUCCGAAG